GAUGAACGCUGGCGGCGUGCCUAAUACAUGCAAGUCGAGCGAACAGACGAGGAGCUUGCUCCUCUGACGUUAGCGGCGGACGGGUGAGUAACACGUGGAUAACCUACCUAUAAGACUGGGAUAACUUCGGGAAACCGGAGCUAAUACCGGAUAAUAUAUUGAACCGCAUGGUUCAAUAGUGAAAGACGGUUUUGCUGUCACUUAUAGAUGGAUCCGCGCCGCAUUAGCUAGUUGGUAAGGUAACGGCUUACCAAGGCACCGAUGCGUAGCCGACCUGAGAGGGUGAUCGGCCACACUGGAACUGCGACACGGUCCAGACUCCUACGGGAGGCAGCAGUAGGGAAUCUUCCGCAAUGGGCGAAAGCCUGACGGAGCAACGCCGCGUGAGUGAUGAAGGUCUUCGGAUCGUAAAACUCUGUUAUUAGGGAAGAACAAAUGUGUAAGUAACUAUGCACGUCUUGACGGUACCUAAUCAGAAAGCCACGGCUAACUACGUG
Molecule: ribosomal RNA, 497 nt
Filed under: uncultured bacterium
Lineage: Bacteria
Description: partial 16S ribosomal RNA
Rfam family: Bacterial small subunit ribosomal RNA
Source: RNAcentral